RNAcentral lists this ribosomal RNA (480 nucleotides) under Triticum aestivum (bread wheat). Its description in RNAcentral is "partial small subunit ribosomal RNA". The record is from RNAcentral. Lineage: Eukaryota; Viridiplantae; Streptophyta; Magnoliopsida; Poales; Poaceae.
AUGCCUUCAUGGAACAAUGAGGAAACGAGCUCGGAGGAGGACUGCCAGGUCGUCAGCAUGGACAUGGGACUUAUGAACUGUGGAAGGGUACUUGACAAGGAGAAGUUUGAGAAGGAGUUGGCCAAGCUUAAGAUUGAACAUGAAAGGGAGUUGGCCAAGCUUAAGGCUGAAAAUGACAAGCUUUGCAUUGAGUACACCAAGCUUGUUGAUGAUGUAUCCAAGAUGUUUGAUUGGCAGGGUGGUAGGGUGGACAGGAAGGUGUACCAGAAACAAGUGGAGGAGGAAGAACUUGAGAAGAAGAAGAAGGAGAUAGAGGAGAAAGCUAUGCUGGAGUUGCAGAUGGAAAAGCUCAAACUUGCAAAAGAAGAUGUUCUUAAGAAGGAGAAGGCAAAGCUUGAGCUUGUUGUUGCUGAACUGCUGAAAGAAGGGUAUGGCAGCAAGGAUAAGUUAGAGCAAAUCAAGGCCAUCCUUGAGUCUUGA